GUGGACGCUGGCGGUAGGCCUCACCCCUGCAAGUCGCACGGCAGCACAGUAAGAGCUUGCUCUUACGGGUGGCGAGUGGCGGACGGGUGAGGAAUACAUCGGAAUCUACUUUUUCGUGGGGGAUAACGUAGGGAAACUUACGCUAAUACCGCAUACGACCUACGGGUGAAAGCAGGGGAUCUUCGGACCUUGCGCGAUUGAAUGAGCCGAUGUCGGAUUAGCUAGUUGGCGGGGUAAAGGCCCACCAAGGCGACGAUCCGUAGCUGGUCUGAGAGGAUGAUCAGCCACACUGGAACUGAGACACGGUCCAGACUCCUACGGGAGGCAGCAGUGGGGAAUAUUGGACAAUGGGCGCAAGCCUGAUCCAGCCAUACCGCGUGGGUGAAGAAGGCCUUCGGGUUGUAAAGCCCUUUUGUUGGGAAAGAAAAGCAGCAGGUUAAUACCCCGCUGUUCUGACGGUACCCAAAGAAUAAGCACCGGCUAACUUCGUG
Molecule: ribosomal RNA, 491 nt
Filed under: uncultured bacterium
Lineage: Bacteria
Description: partial 16S ribosomal RNA
Rfam family: Bacterial small subunit ribosomal RNA
Source: RNAcentral